RNAcentral lists this ribosomal RNA (1768 nucleotides) under Salmonella enterica. Its description in RNAcentral is "partial 23S ribosomal RNA". It matches the Rfam family "Bacterial large subunit ribosomal RNA", at positions 1192 to 2925 of the family's 2925-position model. The record is from RNAcentral. Lineage: Bacteria; Pseudomonadati; Pseudomonadota; Gammaproteobacteria; Enterobacterales; Enterobacteriaceae.
CACCGAAGCUGCGGCAGCGACACUGUGUGUUGUUGGGUAGGGGAGCGUUCUGUAAGCCUGCGAAGGUGGCCUGUGAGGGUUGCUGGAGGUAUCAGAAGUGCGAAUGCUGACAUAAGUAACGAUAAAGCGGGUGAAAAGCCCGCUCGCCGGAAGACCAAGGGUUCCUGUCCAACGUUAAUCGGGGCAGGGUGAGUCGACCCCUAAGGCGAGGCCGAAAGGCGUAGUCGAUGGGAAACGGGUUAAUAUUCCCGUACUUGGUGUUACUGCGAAGGGGGGACGGAGAAGGCUAUGUUGGCCGGGCGACGGUUGUCCCGGUUUAAGCGUGUAGGUGUGUGUUCCAGGUAAAUCCGGUUCACUUUAACACUGAGGCGUGACGACGAGGCACUACGGUGCUGAAGCAACAAAUGCCCUGCUUCCAGGAAAAGCCUCUAAGCAUCAGGUAACAUCAAAUCGUACCCCAAACCGACACAGGUGGUCAGGUAGAGAAUACCAAGGCGCUUGAGAGAACUCGGGUGAAGGAACUAGGCAAAAUGGUGCCGUAACUUCGGGAGAAGGCACGCUGACACGUAGGUGAAGUGAUUUACUCAUGGAGCUGAAGUCAGUCGAAGAUACCAGCUGGCUGCAACUGUUUAUUAAAAACACAGCACUGUGCAAACACGAAAGUGGACGUAUACGGUGUGACGCCUGCCCGGUGCCGGAAGGUUAAUUGAUGGGGUCAGCGCAAGCGAAGCUCCUGAUCGAAGCCCCGGUAAACGGCGGCCGUAACUAUAACGGUCCUAAGGUAGCGAAAUUCCUUGUCGGGUAAGUUCCGACCUGCACGAAUGGCGUAAUGAUGGCCAGGCUGUCUCCACCCGAGACUCAGUGAAAUUGAACUCGCUGUGAAGAUGCAGUGUACCCGCGGCAAGACGGAAAGACCCCGUGAACCUUUACUAUAGCUUGACACUGAACAUUGAGCCUUGAUGUGUAGGAUAGGUGGGAGGCUUUGAAGUGUGGACGCCAGUCUGCAUGGAGCCGACCUUGAAAUACCACCCUUUAAUGUUUGAUGUUCUAACGUGGACCCGUUACCCGGGUUGCGGACAGUGUCUGGUGGGUAGUUUGACUGGGGCGGUCUCCUCCUAAAGAGUAACGGAGGAGCACGAAGGUUGGCUAAUCCUGGUCGGACAUCAGGAGGUUAGUGCAAUGGCAUAAGCCAGCUUGACUGCGAGCGUGACGGCGCGAGCAGGUGCGAAAGCAGGUCAUAGUGAUCCGGUGGUUCUGAAUGGAAGGGCCAUCGCUCAACGGAUAAAAGGUACUCCGGGGAUAACAGGCUGAUACCGCCCAAGAGUUCAUAUCGACGGCGGUGUUUGGCACCUCGAUGUCGGCUCAUCACAUCCUGGGGCUGAAGUAGGUCCCAAGGGUAUGGCUGUUCGCCAUUUAAAGUGGUACGCGAGCUGGGUUUAGAACGUCGUGAGACAGUUCGGUCCCUAUCUGCCGUGGGCGCUGGAGAACUGAGGGGGGCUGCUCCUAGUACGAGAGGACCGGAGUGGACGCAUCACUGGUGUUCGGGUUGUCAUGCCAAUGGCACUGCCCGGUAGCUAAAUGCGGAAGAGAUAAGUGCUGAAAGCAUCUAAGCACGAAACUUGCCCCGAGAUGAGUUCUCCCUGAGACUUAGAGUCUCCUGAAGGAACGUUGAAGACGACGACGUUGAUAGGCCGGGUGUGUAAGCGCAGCGAUGCGUUGAGCUAACCGGUACUAAUGAACCGUGAGGCUUAACCUUACAACGCCGAAG